GACGAACGCUGGCGGCGUGCUUAACACAUGCAAGUCGAACGGAAAGGCCCUGCUUUUGUGGGGUGCUCGAGUGGCGAACGGGUGAGUAACACGUGAGUAACCUGCCCUUGAAUUUGGGAUAACUUCAGGAAACUGGGGCUAAUACCGGAUAGGAGCUCCUGCUGCAUGGUGUGGGUUGGAAAGUUUCGGCGGUUGUGGAUGGACUCGCGGCUUAUCAGCUUGUUGGUGGGGUAGUUGCUUACCAAGGCUUUGACGGGUAGCCGGCAUUGGAGGGUGGCCGGCCACAUUGGGACUGCGAUACGGCGCAGACUCCUACGGGAGGCAGCAGUGGGGAAUAUUGCACAAUGGGCGGAAGCCUGAUGCAGCAACGCCGCGUGCGGGAUGACGGCCUUCGGGUUGUAAACCGCUGUCGCCUGUGACGAAGCGUGAGUGACGGUAAUGGGUAAAGAAGCACCGGCUAACUACGUG
RNAcentral lists this ribosomal RNA (468 nucleotides) under uncultured bacterium. Its description in RNAcentral is "partial 16S ribosomal RNA". It matches the Rfam family "Bacterial small subunit ribosomal RNA", at positions 28 to 507 of the family's 1533-position model. The record is from RNAcentral.